UCAUAUAGCAACCAAGCUCAACCUGUACAUAAACAUAAACAUAACAUAAACCUCCACUGGAGCCCUCAUCAAAAUGCUCCAAUGGGGUAUCUCAUCAUACAUAAGCUUGGCUGAAACAUAACCUCAUAUCUCAUAUCAUCAAGACCAUGUACAUACAAGUGGGAUUAACAAUCUGUAUUGGUCAAGCACAACUCUAUCCUCAAUAUUCAAAUUACACAACAUAACUUAAAACACUUUUACAU
This 242-nucleotide long non-coding RNA is filed under the name Manihot esculenta (cassava). Its description in RNAcentral is "long non-coding RNA (MESC_LNC007120)". The record is from RNAcentral. Lineage: Eukaryota; Viridiplantae; Streptophyta; Magnoliopsida; Malpighiales; Euphorbiaceae.